UACGUAGGUGGCAAGCGUUAUCCGGAUUUACUGGGUGUAAAGGGCGUGUAGGCGGGUUUGCAAGUUGGAUGUGAAAUCCUCAGGCUUAACCUGAGAGGGUCAUCCAAAACUGCAGAUCUUGAGUACUGGAGAGGAUAGUGGAAUUCCUAGUGUAGCGGUAAAAUGCGUAGAUAUUAGGAGGAACACCAGUGGCGAAGGCGACUAUCUGGACAGUAACUGACGCUGAGGCGCGAAAGCGUGGGGAGGCAAACAGGAUUAGAUACCCU
Molecule: ribosomal RNA, 266 nt
Filed under: uncultured prokaryote
Description: partial 16S ribosomal RNA
Rfam family: Bacterial small subunit ribosomal RNA
Source: RNAcentral